GGGCGAUUAGUUUAGUGGUAGAACAUCGGUCUCCAAAACCGAUGGCGGGAGUUCGAUUCUCUCAUCGCCUG
Molecule: transfer RNA, 71 nt
Filed under: Candidatus Buchananbacteria bacterium
Lineage: Bacteria; Candidatus Buchananiibacteriota
Description: tRNA-Trp
Rfam family: tRNA
About the family: Transfer RNA (tRNA) molecules are approximately 80 nucleotides in length. Their secondary structure includes four short double-helical elements and three loops (D, anti-codon, and T loops).
Source: RNAcentral